RNAcentral lists this ribosomal RNA (449 nucleotides) under uncultured bacterium. RNAcentral's name for it is "partial 16S ribosomal RNA". It matches the Rfam family "Bacterial small subunit ribosomal RNA", at positions 29 to 523 of the family's 1533-position model. The record is from RNAcentral.
AGCGAACGCUGGCGGCAGGCCUAACACAUGCAAGUCGAACGAACUCUUCGGAGUUAGUGGCGGACGGGUGAGAAACACGUGGGAACGUGCCUUUAGGCUCGGAAUAACUCAGGGAAACUUGUGCUAAUACCGAAUGUGCCCUUCGGGGGAAAGAUUUAUCGCCUUUAGAGCGGCCCGCGUCUGAUUAGCUAGUUGGUGAGGUAAAGGCUCACCAAGGCGACGAUCAGUAGCUGGUCUGAGAGGAUGAUCAGCCACAUUGGGACUGAAACACGGCCCAAACUCCUACGGGAGGCAGCAGUGGGGAAUCUUGCGCAAUGGGCGAAAGCCUGACGCAGCCAUGCCGCGUGAAUGAUGAAGGUCUUAGGAUUGUAAAAUUCUUUCACCGGGGACGAUAACGACGGUACCCGGAGAAGAAGCCCCGGCUAACUUCGUGCCAGCAGCCGCCGUAA